This 432-nucleotide ribosomal RNA is filed under the name uncultured bacterium. RNAcentral's name for it is "partial 16S ribosomal RNA". It matches the Rfam family "Bacterial small subunit ribosomal RNA", at positions 29 to 506 of the family's 1533-position model. The record is from RNAcentral.
AACGAACGCUGGCGGCAUGCCUAACACAUGCAAGUCGAACGAUCCCUUCGGGGAUAGUGGCGCACGGGUGCGUAACGCGUGGGAACCUGCCCUUAGGUUCGGAAUAACUCAGAGAAAUUUGAGCUAAUACCGGAUAAUGUCUUCGGACCAAAGAUUUAUCGCCUUUGGAUGGGCCCGCGUUGGAUUAGCUAGUUGGUGGGGUAAAGGCCUACCAAGGCGACGAUCCAUAGCUGGUCUGAGAGGAUGAUCAGCCACACUGGGACUGAGACACGGCCCAGACUCCUACGGGAGGCAGCAGUGGGGAAUAUUGGACAAUGGGCGAAAGCCUGAUCCAGCAAUGCCGCGUGAGUGAUGAAGGCCUUAGGGUUGUAAAGCUCUUUUACCCGGGAUGAUAAUGACAGUACCGGGAGAAUAAGCCCUGGCUAACUCCGU